CAACAACAGCAGCAGCAGCAGCAGCAGCAUGUAAUAAGAGGAAAUCAGACACAGCCAACCUGCCUGCCAGUGCAAACCAGCAUUUCCGUGCCCCUCUACAACAACCCCAUGGCGUUCUCUCAGACUCAUCCCAUCACUACUCCCACUCAGAUGCCAGCCGAAAUUAGUGACAGGCAGCCACAGUCUGACUAUGGCCAAGAUAGGAGCCUAAGGAUGUUGUUGGAUCAGCCUAUCCAAGCCAUGAUGCCCAGUGCUAACGGGACUAGUCAGUCAGGACAGAACAAUGCUGGGAGACAACAAGGGAAAUUUGUUCCUGAGCAGCAGAUGCUGCCUCCCCAGUUACAAAUGCCACCGGUUACGUGUAGCACAGUCAGAGCUCCUGGCCCUUCGCCUGCGUUUUCCCCUUCCAUGAUGAUCCCGCACACGAACUUCACCUCCCACCAGACGCAUCCCCCCGUUCACCUCCCCCAGUGGCCACAGCAGCAAGUCCAACAGCAUCAUCUCUACCUGCAGAUGCAGACUCCCGAAUCAGUCCAGGGGAGUCAAGGUCAGCGCAUUUUCCAGUCAUCUCACCUCCCCCAGCAGAACAGCAUGGGCUACUUCCUCCAUCCUCAGCAACAAGCCUGCCACGCAGAGGGUCAGCCCUGCAACCUGCAAGACCUGCCUGAAAUGCAACUGCCGUGACAGCCAAGCGGUGAAGAGGAGAGGAUGAUGUUGGUCGCAGCAGCUGCGCUGGGCACAAGCGAGGGGAAGGACAGCGCUAGCUAAGGAGAGGAGGCCUUCCUCGUUCGCCCGAGGGGUGAGGUUCAGCCCGGAGGGAAGCGUGGCACCCUGGGCCAGGGGCCCGGCAGGUGGGCUGUAAGAGCGUCUUGUUGAUCAGCAUUUUCACGUAGUCAGUUCAGUGCUCGCUGGUGCACAGCAGCACUUCCAGCAGCCACAGAAAAGUGCGGAUCUGUUAAACAGCAGGACAGAAGACUCGAAACUCAUCGAUGCUCCGUUUAAAUAUUGCUGGAAGUCACUGUGAAUUGAAGACCAGCGUUUGGAAAACACAUGCGCGCGCGCGCGCGCACACACUGUAACAACUUGCAGGAUACCACUCACCCACCAUGUAGAUAAUUCGUUUUGCUGUCAUACUUCAACAAUGGAUUUUAUUUCCCUUCUUCCUAUACCUCAGCCCCGGUCCUUGUUUUUUUUUAGAUGAUUGGAUAAUGCUGCUAAUUUAUGUGACACCACUUCUGCCUGAAUUUCUUACUGUUGUUAUACCAGCUCACAUCACACUUAGUAAGAGAAAUGCAUCAGGUUUAAUUCUGGGUGAGACAUGAAAAUAAAUUUCUGUGUUUCUAUUCCCUUUAGCCAAAUAAUUUUCAGGGUAUCAGUGAAGAAACUUUACAGGGGUUUUUUUGUCCCCACCCCCGAUGGAUGUUGCUGUACACAUUUCCUUACACCUGGAAAAAAAAAAACAAUCAAAUGACAGCAAACUUUGUGGUUUUGCUGGUUCAUGUUGCAGUCGGGCAAAGCUGACGUUUAUACUGACAAAGGCACAAAUGCGAGGUCGGGCCCAGAGGGAUAGCAAUAAAUUGUAUUUUUGUAAAUUGUCACUUUAUAACGAUAUGUUUAUAUUUAUGAACGGAAACAGAUGUGUAUUCCUCAGUGAGUAUAUAGCAGUGUCCCUACUGUUUGUGUCUUUCCAAAGGAAAAUGAAUAUUUACGUGGUUGGAGGUUUUGGUUUUUUUUCCUAUAGUAGUUGAAUGCUAGAGCUGAGCGCAGUUAGAUCCCAUCUUCAAAAGAGAGGGAGCGUUUAUGCCCUUAAUGCACCUGUUUUGGGAUAACACGUGGGACCUCCCUUAAAGGAAGGAAACAUGAUGGUAUCUUGUGCCUGAUUUGCACAGUAAUGAUGAAUGUUAUGGCUUGGGGGAUGGAAUAAAGCUGUGGGCAAGGUGAUUUGCUAACCUAUGUCUGCCCUCCCGUCGCUGAGCUGUUCUACUGCGGCUCUUUUGUAGCAAGAGUCUCAGCAUCCAGGCUGGUUGCCAGCCUCUAGGCAUGGAGAUGAUGUGGACUGGAGCGUGGGCUAGGUCUAGAGUCACCCGAGUGUGCCUCAGCACUGGGCUCAACGCUGUUUGCUGUGGGGCAGAUGGGGCUUUGGGGCUUCUCACCUCUCAGUGCUGAAAGAGCAGGGAACAGAUCCACCUGCACAGACCCUGCACGUGUGCUCGUCCCAUUGGCAUUGUCACUGCCCCAGGGCGAGCGGGACAUGCAGGCUUUCACAUUGCCCUUCAUCUGCUGGAUCAGGUCCCAAGGGGAGGGUGGGUCGACACUGAAAGGCUUCGCUUGAAGCCAGAUGCACCCACAAAGGGAGUCCAGCACCAUGGUAGGAGAGUGCUAAGCCAGGGAGCCGUCCCCAGGCCAGCUCUGCAUGAGCGACUGCUGCUCAGCCAUGCGUCCGGGCUGCACCAGUCACAGUGACACUAAAACUGUUCCAGGAGAAGGUCAGAUUGCAUUUUAGUCUUCAAGCCUGCCAGGGUGUUUGCCACCACCUCCUCACCCCUGAAACCCACCCCUACCCUUCAGCUAUGCACACGGGACAGGCCAUGUGUGUGAGAGUCAGGCUGGGCAGCAUGCACACACAGGCACACGCGUGCGCACACACACACACGCAUGCAAAUUGCCCAUUAAGAACGAUGGAGGAAGUGGGGGCGGAAGGAGGCUGGCAGGGGCGGAGCCCCGCACUCUCCCCAAACUUUCAGGUCCAAACCCGCUUCCCCCCCCCCCCCCGGGCUUUGGGUCAGAAACCCCUCUCCCCACACCCAGUUUGGGUCUGACCCCACCCCACCCCACUUCUCCCCAGUUCAAGUCUGACCGUGCUCCCCCCUGCUAAUGUAGUCCUCUAGCCCCCGGCACACCUGCAGGCCAGGCUGGCACUGCGGCGUGAAGCUUGCCUGCUAGCUAGUGUGAGCGUGAGUUACCAGUGCAGGGCUUGUGCCAGGGAUGAGGCUGGCAGCAGGUGGGGUGGAGCGGUGGCCGGGUGUUCAGGUUAGUGCCACUUUGCGCGCUCUUUGGUGCCAGACAGAGACUGUCCAUGGCCACAAGCAUCAAGCUGCUUUUGGCCUUACACCUGAACUAGGGCUAAUCCAAUGUGCAAACUGCCCCCGACUGCUUACCCCUUCAGCUGGUGGUUACAGUGAGGCCAUCAUGUGCCAUACAGGAAAAGCAGCUGACCCGUGCUUAGGCCAUGCUGCCACUGCCUCCUCGUGGUCCUAGCUGCGAUCUGCUGGCUUUGUCUGCACCCCUGUGGAGGCGCUUGCAUGGGGCACUGUUAGCAUUCAGUAAUCACAUAGGGUAGAAAGGGAACGUGCAGAGGGAAAAGAAGAAGUGGUUUGUGUGCGUCACCGCUGUGCUGCUGCUGCUGUCAGUGGCUCAAGGGGUGAAAGUCACCAGCGCAGCCCUUUGCCCCUGUGGCUGGGGUACAGCCCUCGCCUCCUGCUCCUGCUCGGGUCGCUCUGGAGGAUGGCAGCGUGGCGGGGGGUCUUGUCUGGGAACAGCAGCAGCCGGCUGCUGUGGCAGGUUUUCCACCCUGUGCACAUCAGAGCAAACACUAGUCUCCCCGUCCCUGUCCGCCCCUUUUGCCAUUCGCUGGGGUAGGGCCAUGAGGCCUUACGUGCCUGUUCCAGCAGUGGGUUUGCCUUGGCUGUUGGGGCAGCAUGCGCCUGGCCUGCCUGUCAGCUGUGGGGAACCAGAGCACACCUGCCAUAGCACAACCGAUGGGGUCCAGGCCAGCAGGCACCACAGCGAUGCUCCUGGGGCUUUCCUCCUUUUCUCCUCUUGCUGAAAUGAGUGAGUCAUGAACCGGGCACUAGGAGUUCCCCGGUCCCCGCUCCCCAUUUCCACUUGUAACUUCCCCGUCUUCCUCCCGCCAGCACCCUGCCCAAAGCUGGACACCCACGGAGCUGUUUUUCAGUCAUGUCUAGGCUUGAACCAAGUAGCAGGCUGCUGCAACAGGCUUGUACCAAGAUGAGCUCCCACGUCCUGCAGUGCUCAGGUGGAGGGAGGGGGUGCCUGGAGGAUCGGGAUCAUCUACCACAGCCAAAUCCCCUUCCUCCACUUUCUUCUACAUCUGCUUUGUCUCUUUGCUUUGCAUUCUCCCCCCCCACAAACGCAGCCUUGUUUUAGCAGAAUAAGAAGGUGGCAAAGGCAUUGUGCAGACUCUUCUCUUAGGAAGAGGCUCCUGCCUUCUAACUUUACACGCUGGUGGCUGCGGGGAAGGUCUCGUCUCUGGCCUGGCUCAAGCCUCACUUCUAGCUUUACAGUGAGUAGAAAAGGAGCACAAAGAGGGCUCUGGCUGUCUUCAGUAAGGCAUUUGCAGAAUAGCUGGGCAAAGUAAAGACAGCUGCCUGUUUUUAGAGCACUGCUUGGGAGAAUUGUGCACCCAAGGCUGGCAUCACGGCCGUGUGCUGUGUCCCCUGCCCCUGGGUGCAGCUGCAGUGGAUGGGGCUGUUGAUGGAGCUACCUGUGUCAUCAGGCAGCGUAAGGGUGCAGGGAAAGCAGAGGGGAAUGGCGGUCCUAGAAUGAGGGUUGCUGGAGAAGGGAAACCACAGCCCCUUUUUUGGAUUGGCCUCGCUGAAGACAUGCACUUUAUUACGGAAGAACAAUGACCCUUCAGCUUCAUGCCAUUGCAUGGUCGUGCCCUCAGUCAAACACCCAGCAACCGGGCACAGCCCUGGCUUGUCACCCCACUGGAGAGAGGCACAGGCAGCAAGUGCCUCGGCCGUGGGAGCCAGCGCUUUCAGACAAUCACCGGAGGGCCGGCCCUUGCGGUCCCUUCUCAGGGUUUACUCCGUUACUGCAUGGUUCCUUACUCAGGCAGCCUCCCGCUGACUCCCAGGGUGCUGGGUCUGGGCAUGUGAUAAAUCGGGACCUUGGGAUGUGGCCUAAGGUCCUGUCGCCCGCCCUUCUCUCUCAAAAAAAAAAAUUAUAUGAAUAAAGAGCCACUCUCUUCAGGGUCAUUUGGAUUCAUUACCUCUGUUAGCUACGCCCGGUAUUUCUGUGGAGUGUUAGGAAGUGAGUGUAGCUGGGGUUGGACACGCAGAGGAUGCUUGUAGUGGCAAACACGUUCUCCCCGCCGGCUGGGGACUCAGCCUGUGGGAUCGCUACUGACUACGCCCAACCGAGGGAGCUGGCUCCAGGUGAGCUGAGACGCGUACAGCAGAAGGGGUGCAGUGCGAGGCUUUCCAAGGCACGUGUCCGACAGGCCAAGCAAUCCCCAACCUUGGCAAACACAGGCAGCUUUAAUCUAAGUCUUGCACUUUUAGCGUAUUUGUACAUAUAAGCUAUAGCCUGAAAGGUAAAAAAAUUAAAAAAAUUUAAAAAGUUUAAAAAACAUAGUGAAAUGUCACUGUACAUAUUGUAACAUAUUCCAUGUAAAAAAGGCUAGAAUUGAAUAUGAAUAUUAGUUCUAUUUUAUAUGAUGUCAAAUAGAGAUGAAUUUAUAAAUGUUCCUAUUCUUAAAAGUAUUUUGUAAUGGAAAAAAGGAAAUGUCUUAUGAAGACGAACCCAGGACAGAUUUUAUUCUUGUCUCGAAUAUGCGUCCCUGGGCAGCUCCAUUGGAUGGCAGCUGUUGCAUCUUGACAAGCUUUAAACAGAUUGUACAUAGUAUUUUGGAAGAAAAAUAAAAGUAUACUUUUAAG
This is an RNA transcript of Alligator sinensis (Chinese alligator), 5681 nucleotides long. It is a transcript of the gene named neuronal PAS domain-containing protein 2-like, with no coding region annotated. The record is from RefSeq and is a predicted model, not a curated record. The transcript is spliced from 5 exons. Lineage: Eukaryota; Metazoa; Chordata; Crocodylia; Alligatoridae.